This is a transfer RNA of 72 nucleotides. It matches the Rfam family "tRNA". From Rfam's summary of the family: Transfer RNA (tRNA) molecules are approximately 80 nucleotides in length. Their secondary structure includes four short double-helical elements and three loops (D, anti-codon, and T loops). The record is from Rfam.
UGGUCUGUAGCCAAGCGGUAAGGCAACGGAUUUUGAUUCCGUGAUACGUUGGUUCGAAUCCAACUAGACCAG